CGUAGGGGGCUAGCGUUGUCCGGAUUCAUUGGGCGUAAAGCGCGUGUAGGCGGCCAGAUAGGUCUGCUGUGAAAACUCGAGGCUCAACCUCGAGCCGUCGGCGGAAACCAUCUGGCUAGAGUCCGGAAGAGGAGAGUGGAAUUCCCGGUGUAGCGGUGAAAUGCGCAGAUAUCGGGAAGAACACCUGUGGCGAAGGCGGCUCUCUGGGACGGUACUGACGCUGAGACGCGAAAGCGUGGGGAGCAAACAGGAUUAGAUACCCUGGUAGUCCACGCCGUAAACGAUGGGUGCUAGGUGUGGGGAGUGUCGACUCUCUCCGUGCCGAAGCUAACGCAUUAAGCACCCGCCUGGGGAGUACGGCCGCAAGGCUA
Molecule: ribosomal RNA, 371 nt
Filed under: uncultured organism
Description: bacterial SSU rRNA
Rfam family: Bacterial small subunit ribosomal RNA
Source: RNAcentral